UUCCGGUAGGUGAACCUGCGGAAGGAUCAUGA
RNAcentral lists this ribosomal RNA (32 nucleotides) under Ganoderma lucidum. Its description in RNAcentral is "partial 18S ribosomal RNA". Lineage: Eukaryota; Fungi; Basidiomycota; Agaricomycetes; Polyporales; Polyporaceae. The record is from RNAcentral.